RNAcentral lists this ribosomal RNA (473 nucleotides) under uncultured bacterium. RNAcentral describes it as "bacterial SSU rRNA". It matches the Rfam family "Bacterial small subunit ribosomal RNA", at positions 25 to 518 of the family's 1533-position model. The record is from RNAcentral.
CAGGACGAACGCUGGCGGCGUGCUUAACACAUGCAAGUUGAACGGUAUGACAUGGAAGCUUGCUGAAGUGUCAUAUAGUAGCGGACGGGUGAGUAAUGCAUGAGAAGCUGCCAUUGGGAGGGGGACAACAGUUGGAAACGGCUGCUAAUACCCCGUAUGCCGGAGGGUGAAAGGGAGUAAUCCGCCCGAUGAGGUGCUCAUGUCCUAUCAGCUGGUCGGUGGGGUAACGGCCUACCAAGGCGACGACGGGUAGCCGGCCUGAGAGGGUGAACGGCCACACUGGAACUGAGAUACGGUCCAGACUCCUACGGGAGGCAGCAGGUGGGGAAUAUUGGGACCAAGUGGGGGCAACCCUGACCCAGCGACGCCGCGUGGGGAAGACGGCCUUCGGGUUGUAAACCUCUUUUGUACGGGAAGAAGGAAGUGACGGUACUGUACGAAUAAGUCCCGGCUAACUGCGUGCCAGCCGCCGC